CGGGACGGGGUGAGUAAUGUCUGGGAAACUGCCUGAUGGAGGGGGGUAACUACUGGAAACGGUAGCUAAUACCGCAUAACGUCGCAAGACCAAAGAGGGGGACCUUCGGGCCUCUUGCCAUCGGAUGUGCCCAGAUGGGAUUAGCUAGUAGGUGGGGUAACGGCUCACCUAGGCGACGAUCCCUAGCUGGUCUGAGAGGAUGGCCAGCCACACUGGAACUGAGACACGGUCCAG
Molecule: ribosomal RNA, 234 nt
Filed under: uncultured bacterium
Lineage: Bacteria
Description: partial 16S ribosomal RNA
Rfam family: Bacterial small subunit ribosomal RNA
Source: RNAcentral